UUACUGAAGCCAAAAACACACACAAAUCAAACACAAAUUCAAAAACAAAAUCAAACCUUUGAUUUCAACAUGAAAAAAAGUAGACAAAUGGAUACAAAGAAAACCAAAUCCCAACGACGUCUCAUUCAUAUUUGAUGACUACGAAAGUAUGCUCACCAUUUACGUUCAUUAAGCUGAUCAGUUCAUUACAAACCCUAAGAAACAAUAUAUUGAUGUAAAGGUUGAUUCUUUUAACUUUGUUGAUCUUUAUGGAUUUGAUAUUUUGAUAUGGAGCAACUGAAUUAUAUUAUUAGGGAGUUUAUGACUUCAAAUUGGAACCUGUUUCUGGAUCUUCUUCAUGGCCAAAGAGUCAGCACCCAACUAAACUUCUCCUUCCUUUGCAUAAGACUCAAAUUGGCAGGCCUAAGAAACUUAGAAGGAAGAGUGCUAUGGAAAAAGAAAAAUCAAAGAUUGUAAAGAAUGGAAAACUUACAAGGGCUGGAAAACUAUUACUUGUUUAAAGUGUAAGAACAAAGGCCACAAUGCAAGGCAGCGUAAGGGUCAAAGUGCAAGUCAGAGUCAAAGUCAAGAUGACCGAAGUCAAGCCAGGAAAGGAGUGAAGAGAAGUGAUGCUGCUGUUGCAAGUCAAUCAAGUCAAGGUGUGUAAAGGCCAAAAAAAUCUGCUGCUAAGGAUGCAAGUCAAUCCACUCAAACUGAUCGUGCAAGUCAAUAUACUCCAAAACAAGCUGUUGGUGCAAAUCAAGUUGAUAGUUCCAUCCUUUAAUUUAAUGGUUCUAGUGUAACACUUUCGAAACGAAACAAUCUGUUGGUUAAGUACUUUAUGUGUGUUUUCUUUUGAUGUUUCCUAGUAUGUUGCCACAUUUUGUGUGUUUUUCAGUCAUGUGACUUUGUUUGAACUUCGUAA
This is a long non-coding RNA of Erigeron canadensis, 904 nucleotides long. RefSeq lists it as uncharacterized. The transcript has 2 exons. NCBI's taxonomy places the organism in Eukaryota, Viridiplantae, Streptophyta, Magnoliopsida, Asterales, Asteraceae. The record is from RefSeq and is a predicted model, not a curated record.